Molecule: ribosomal RNA, 806 nt
Filed under: Staphylococcus aureus
Lineage: Bacteria; Bacillati; Bacillota; Bacilli; Caryophanales; Staphylococcaceae
Description: bacterial SSU rRNA
Rfam family: Bacterial small subunit ribosomal RNA
Source: RNAcentral
GGCUCAGGAUGAACGCUGGCGGCGUGCCUAAUACAUGCAAGUCGAGCGAACGGACGAGAAGCUUGCUUCUCUGAUGUUAGCGGCGGACGGGUGAGUAACACGUGGAUAACCUACCUAUAAGACUGGGAUAACUUCGGGAAACCGGAGCUAAUACCGGAUAAUAUUUUGAACCGCAUGGUUCAAAAGUGAAAGACGGUCUUGCUGUCACUUAUAGAUGGAUCCGCGCUGCAUUAGCUAGUUGGUAAGGUAACGGCUUACCAAGGCAACGAUGCAUAGCCGACCUGAGAGGGUGAUCGGCCACACUGGAACUGAGACACGGUCCAGACUCCUACGGGAGGCAGCAGUAGGGAAUCUUCCGCAAUGGGCGAAAGCCUGACGGAGCAACGCCGCGUGAGUGAUGAAGGUCUUCGGAUCGUAAAACUCUGUUAUUAGGGAAGAACAUAUGUGUAAGUAACUGUGCACAUCUUGACGGUACCUAAUCAGAAAGCCACGGCUAACUACGUGCCAGCAGCCGCGGUAAUACGUAGGUGGCAAGCGUUAUCCGGAAUUAUUGGGCGUAAAGCGCGCGUAGGCGGUUUUUUAAGUCUGAUGUGAAAGCCCACGGCUCAACCGUGGAGGGUCAUUGGAAACUGGAAAACUUGAGUGCAGAAGAGGAAAGUGGAAUUCCAUGUGUAGCGGUGAAAUGCGCAGAGAUAUGGAGGAACACCAGUGGCGAAGGCGACUUUCUGGUCUGUAACUGACGCUGAUGUGCGAAAGCGUGGGGAUCAAACAGGAUUAGAUACCCUGGUAGUCCACGCCGUAAACGA